Molecule: non-coding RNA, 414 nt
Organism: Tsukamurella paurometabola DSM 20162
Lineage: Bacteria; Bacillati; Actinomycetota; Actinomycetes; Mycobacteriales; Tsukamurellaceae
Rfam family: Bacterial RNase P class A
About the family: Ribonuclease P (RNase P) is a ubiquitous endoribonuclease, found in archaea, bacteria and eukarya as well as chloroplasts and mitochondria. Its best characterised activity is the generation of mature 5'-ends of tRNAs by cleaving the 5'-leader elements of precursor-tRNAs.
Source: Rfam
CGAGCUGACCGGGCGGCCGCGGCGUCGGGAACGGCUGGGUGACCAGUGCCGCCCGCGUCGAGGAAAGUCCGGACUCCACAGGGCAGGGUGGUUGCUAACGGCAACCCGGGGUGACCCGCGGGACAGUGCCACAGAGAACAGACCGCCCGGGCUUCGGCCCGGGUAAGGGUGAAACGGUGCGGUAAGAGCGCACCAGCGCGGCGGGUGACCGUCGCGGCUCGGUAAACCCCACCCGGAGCAAGGUCGAAGGCGGAACCUCACGGUUCCGCUGCGCACGUGAUCGAGGGCUGCUCGCCUGAGCGUGCGGGUAGACCGCUUGAGGCACCCGGCGACGGUGUGUCCAGAUGGAUGGUCGCCCCCGUGCCACGGUGACGUGGCGCGGGACAGGAUCCGGCUUACACGUCAGCUCGUCCG